RNAcentral lists this ribosomal RNA (282 nucleotides) under unidentified marine bacterioplankton. Its description in RNAcentral is "partial 16S ribosomal RNA". It matches the Rfam family "Bacterial small subunit ribosomal RNA", at positions 53 to 339 of the family's 1533-position model. The record is from RNAcentral.
ACAUGCAAGUCGAGCGGUAAGGCCUUUCGGGGUACACGAGCGGCGAACGGGUGAGUAACACGUGGGUGAUCUGCCCUGCACUUCGGGAUAAGCCUGGGAAACUGGGUCUAAUACCGGACAUGACCUCCUAUCGCAUGGUGGGUGGUGGAAAGAUUUAUCGGUGCAGGAUGGGCCCGCGGCCUAUCAGCUUGUUGGUGGGGUAAUGGCCUACCAAGGCGACGACGGGUAGCCGACCUGAGAGGGUGACCGGCCACACUGGGACUGAGACACGGCCCAGACUCC